This 433-nucleotide ribosomal RNA is filed under the name uncultured bacterium. Its description in RNAcentral is "bacterial SSU rRNA". It matches the Rfam family "Bacterial small subunit ribosomal RNA", at positions 28 to 477 of the family's 1533-position model. The record is from RNAcentral.
GACGAGCGCUGGCGGCGUGCUUAACACAUGCAAGUCGAACGGUAAGGCCCUUCGGGGUACACGAGUGGCGAACGGGUGAGUAACACGUGGGUGAUCUGCCCUGCACUUCGGGAUAAGCUUGGGAAACUGGGUCUAAUACCGGAUAGGACCACGGUCUGCAUGGAUUGUGGUGGAAAGCUUUUGCGGUGUGGGAUGGGCCCGCGGCCUAUCAGCUUGUUGGUGGGGUGAUGGCCUACCAAGGCGACGACGGGUAGCCGGCCUGAGAGGGUGUCCGGCCACACUGGGACUGAGAUACGGCCCAGACUCCUACGGGAGGCAGCAGUGGGGAAUAUUGCACAAUGGGCGCAAGCCUGAUGCAGCGACGCCGCGUGGGGGAUGACGGCCUUCGGUUGUAACCGUACUUUCUAGCAUCGACGAAGCGCAAGUGACGGUA